RNAcentral lists this ribosomal RNA (253 nucleotides) under uncultured bacterium. Its description in RNAcentral is "partial 16S ribosomal RNA". It matches the Rfam family "Bacterial small subunit ribosomal RNA", at positions 524 to 776 of the family's 1533-position model. The record is from RNAcentral.
CACGUAGGGCGCAAGCGUUGUCCGGAAUUAUUGGGCGUAAAGAGCUCGUAGGCGGUCUGUUGCGUCCGCUGUGAAAACCCGGGGCUUAACCCUGGGCUGGCAGUGGAUACGGACAGACUAGAGGUAGGUAGGGGAGAAUGGAAUUCCCGGUGUAGCGGUGAAAUGCGCAGAUAUCGGGAGGAACACCGGUGGCGAAGGCGGUUCUCUGGGACGGUACUGACGCUGAGACGCGAAAGCGUGGGGAGCAAACAGG